This 13007-nucleotide long non-coding RNA is filed under the name Homo sapiens (human). RNAcentral's name for it is "non-protein coding lnc-CLDN10-9:1". Lineage: Eukaryota; Metazoa; Chordata; Mammalia; Primates; Hominidae. The record is from RNAcentral.
CUCUCUUUGCCUGCUGCCAUCCACGUGACUUUCUCCUCCGUGCCUUCUGUCAUGAUUGUGAGGUCUCCCCAGCCACAUGGAACUGUAAGUCCACUAAACCUCUUCUUUUGUAAAUUGCCCAGUCUCAGGUAUGUCUUUAUCAGCAGCGUGAAAACAGACUCAUACAACUAACAAGCCUGCUUUAGCUUUUCACUGUUCUGCCCAAGCAACUUUCCCCUUCAGCCAGGCCAGUAGAUUUCUCAUACAGCAGGGUGACCCUGUUCAGGGCCUUUGUACUGUUUAUAUUUUUUACUUUGUGCAUACUAUGAUGUCUUGACGUUUUGGAAACCUCUCUGGCUGGGGAGAGACUGUCCUUCCCAGAGCUGGCCAGUUCUUAGAACCAGAAGGGCCCAGCCAGGAGCACAGCUCUGAUAUGCAAACCAACCAACCCAGAGCUAUGCCGUCUUUAUCUAGCCUGUCCACCCCAGGAAGCAGUAUUUCUUCACCUAUAUCAUGCCAGAGCCUGAUAACAAGCAACUAGAAACCAUGCCUGUAGCUUACAGCCUGCCAAAAUUAUUCAAACUAGCCAAUUCUAAACUGUUCACAUGCACUCCCCUGCCCUGUCCCUGAAAGCUCAAGAAAGACCAUGGCCCAGGCUCUCCCCUCACUCCUGCCCCUUCAGGCUCCUACAGGGGGGACCAAGACUGAUGCUUCCCCAUGUGGCCCUGCAGGGCAUGACAUGCUUCCCGUCUCUAAGACCUGUGAGUAUAAUAACCUUGGCCUUCCUGAGCACCUCCUCUGCCUCCUCCUGUGGCCACAUCUCACUGACCAUCACAAAAAACAACAUAGAAUAAGCCAGGCAUGGUGGCUUAUGCCUGUAAUCCCAGCACUUUGGGAGGCCGAGGCAGGCGGAUCACUUGACGUCAGGAGUUCGAGACCAGCCUGGCCAACAUGGUACAACCCUGUCUCUACUAAAAACACAAAAAUUAGCCAGGUGUGGUGGUGGGUGCCUGUAAUCCCAGCUACUCAGGAGGCUGAAGCAGGAUAAUCACUUGAACCCGGGAGGCAGAGGUUGCAGUGAGCCGAGAUUGUGCCACUGCACUCCAGCCUGGGCAACAGAGCAAGACUCCGUCUCAAAAAAUAAAAUAAAACAGGUUUUCAUUUUAAUUUUUAACAUAUAAACCUCCACAGGAACAUUCUGACACAGACUUCAGCCCCAGGCCUACAUCACCCUAUGAUCCAAAUUAUUUUAUAGUAAAUGGUAUGAAGUUUGGAGAGGAAGGGCAAUUUGGCCAUCAUGCUGUGAUUUUACUGCAGGUAAAGUAGAAUCACCAUGAAAGUGGUGGAGCCUUGCUUUUUCUUUAAUUUUUAUAAUGCCACCACCCUACAUUCUUAGGAGAAAAGGCAAGGAGUUAAAUAAAUAAGCACAGAUUUAAGUUCACAUUUCUGGUAAUUAUCCGCAAGCUAAUAACUGAGAUUGCUUAAGCUCUGUAAACAAAACACACAAAGCCCUUGUGGCUCUGCGCCAGAAUCAAAGGUCUGAUCCAAAACUCCCCCAUCCCCUUGUUGGCUUUGAACAUGAAACCAAUUUUCUACACCAAAUCAGGCCUACUUCUUUGUAACCAUCCUUACCAUCUCUCUUAUAGGAAAAUGUUUAGGACUCUUGGCGGUGACUCUAGAACUAGGAAAUCAACUCUCUCAGCAGCACUCUAAUGAGCAAAAACAACUGUGCCUCAAAAUACAGGCUGCAGUGGGCAGAAAUCUCUGUACUGCACUCCAGCCUGGGUGACAGAGUAAGUUUCUGUCUCAAAAAAAAAAAAAAAUCAAGUAACAAAGAACAGCUGUCUAAAACUGUUAACACUGAUUCAAAAUAUAAUAACCUUUAUGCCUGUUAUUCAGAGUUAAAGUGGGUACGCUAAUUAUAAAUCAUACACUUUUCUAAUUGUGCAAUACUCUGUCAAUGGGAUAGAUUUUAGGAAAAUUCCAGCUGAACCAGUCCAUUCUUUGAAUCAUUAGGUCAAUUACAAACAUGCCAAUCCUUAGCCUGAAUAGCUGCAUAUUUAGAAAGACCUAAAACAUUCUUCAAAAAGCUGCCAUACAUGGUCUGUUAAAGGGCUUACUUGGUAGGAAAUAAAUCAAGAGGGAAUACUCCAUAGUGAAUCUCAGGGCACUUUUUAAAACAAAUCUCAGGGCUGAGCACAAUGGUUCAUGCCUAUAAUCUCACUGCUUUGAGGGGCCAAGGCAGGAGGAUUGCUCAAGCCCAGGAGUUUGAGACCAGCCUGGGCAACAUGGCAAGACCUAGUCCCUACAAAAAAAUUGUUUUAUUAGCUAGGCAUGGUGGAACACGCCUGUGGUCCCAGCUAUUCCAGAGGCUGAAGUGGGAGGAUCACUUAAGCCCAGGAAGUCAAGGCUGCAGUGAGCCAUGAUCUCACCACUGCACUCGAGCCUGGGAGACAGUACAGGACCCAUCUCCAAAAAAAAAAAAAAAAAAAGUGAACGAAGCUGCAAUAAGCUGUGAUCAUACCACUGCACACUAGCCUAGGCGACAGAGUGAGACCCUGCCUCAAAAAAAAAAAAAGAAAAAAAGAAAAAACCAAUUGAUAAAAGAGUAACCUCCCAAUCCCCAGCUGUGGAACCCAAGAGCAGAGAAGGCAGCCACCCGCCUCUCUUUCCCUCAAAGACACCAGAGUGCAAUAGGCUCUUCCUCACUCAUUCCCAUGGGAAGUAGCCUUCAACCCCUCUCAAACCACAGCAUAUAGAGAUGCCUUUAUUAAUAAAAAAGGAUACAACCCACGGGCCAGCCGCAGUGGCUCACGCCUGUAAUCCCAACACUUUGGGAAGCCAAGGCAGGCAGAUCACCUGAGGCCAGGAGUCCGAGACCAGCCUGGCCAACAUGGUGAAACUCUGUCUCUACUAAAAGCACAAACAUUAACCGAGUGUGGUGGCACACGCCUGUAGUCCCAGCUACUUAGGAGGCUGAGGCAGGAGAAUCGCUUGAAUCCGGGAGGCAAAAGUUGGAGUUAGCCGAAGUCGCACCACUGCACUCCAGACUGGGCGACAGAGCGAGACUCAGUCUCAAAAAUAAAUAAAUACAAUAAAUAAAUAAACAAAGUAUACAACCCACAACUCACUUUUUUUUCUAACCAGGAAUCUCAACAACAGGACUAUAGGGAAACAAGAAUUAUUAACCUCAUUAAUUCAAAUUAACUCUUAAGCACCCACCACUAACAGGCACUCUUAUAGGUUCUAGACCUAGGAUCAUUUUUACAGAGUUCACAUUGGGGAAGGGAGAGGGGAGAGGGAAAGGCAAUCACACUAAAAAGAGGGGGUCAGAGUAACAGUAAGAUCCACACAGAAGGCCAGGCACAGUGGCUCACACCUAUAAUCCAAGCACUUUGGGAGGCCAAGGAGGGUGGAUCACCUGAGUUCAGGAGUUCGAGACCAGCCUGGCCAACAUGGUGAAACCUUGUCUCUACCAAAAAUACAAAAAUUAGCCGGGCAUGGUGGCGGGCGCCUGUAAUCUCAGUUAUUUGGGAGCCUGAGGCAGGAGGAUCGCCUGAACCCAGGAGGUGGAGGUUGCAGUGAGCUGGGACCAUGCCAUUGCACUCCAGCCUAGGCAACAAGAGUGAGACUUCUCAAAAAAAAAAAAAAAAUCCACAAAGAAAGUAGGGAGCCAUGGUAGUGAAUGGGGGCGUUUACUCUAGAUGGGUGGUCAAGGCAGAGUUUCCCAGGAGGACAAAGCCCCCAGUGACAAGAGCAGGGUCAACAAGUUCCAAGCAAAGAGAACAGCAAGUGCUGAAGCCUAAGGCUAAUGCACUUACAGAAAAAUCCUUAAUGACUAAGUGUGUUGCCUCUGUUUGCGCAGAGAUCACAAAACGUGUCCCGCAGAAGGGAGAGAAAAAGGGACCCCAGGAGAGGGUGGCGGGGCUUCAGGUCCUGGAGAAAGGCAGCAAGCAUGGCUAACACAUUCCUUGGUCCACCCUGCAGGGUAAUACUGCACCUUCAAUUGACUUAUGAAGAAACUAGCUCAGAUUGGAACAACAGCCAGGACAGUCACCACCAAGGGGACUUGCCCCACUGGAGAAGAGACCGGAGUGGGAGAGAAACUGUUACAGCCAAUCACUUCCUUCCAGGAAAAAAAAAGACGCAAAUAACAACACAAAAAAACGUGAUCUAAUAGACAAUCCAGAUAUAAAGAACACAAACCCUUUUCCCUACAAUUUAACCAAAUGCUAAAAUGCACCAGGAAACACAGGAUACUACAGAGAUAAAGAUUUGGCCAGCAGAUUAUCAACCCCAGGAAAAGAAAUCCAUUUCUGUAGCAUGCUAUGCUGUUGGAGGCACACGUCACACUUCUUAAUUCAAGGACAGAAAAGCACAAACUAAAAUGCACACUGGAGUAUGACUCCCCCUUCUCUAUCUGCUAAAGCGCUUCGCAUGUGACUUUCAAUCUCUAAGCUGGGAAUCAAUCAGGCAGCCCAGCCUCCUAUAUUUUCUAGUUGUAUUGCUUUGAGCAUCAAAUUUAACCUCUGUGCACCUCAAUUUCUUCAGCUGGAGACAAAGAAAGUGGCUGCACUGUGGCAGAGUGUUUGCAAAUGUUAAUCAUGGUUAUGGUAGCAUUCUACCUUGUCUUACAGAUGGUUGCCUAAAAAGGUAGGAAACUGUUCACGAAAAAGUCUCAACCGGUCCUAGAGUGAUCAGAAUGACAGCGCUGAAAUAAGGAGGGCAGUACCUCUUAUUCCAGAGAAGUGGGGAGCAGAGAGGAAGAUGGAGUGGAAAGGGGCGAGGCAAGGCCCUCCUGAAAUACCUCAACCCAAAUCUUCAAGAAAUCCCCAAGUCCUCACAGUGCUUUUUGUGGAUUUUUGUGGAAACCGGUAAAAGGGGCUGAUUUGCUGACCCCAGUGGGUAGAAAACAGAGACUGUCAAGAGAACAGAAGAGAAGGCAGAAAGGGGAUGGGGAAGUGGGGUUCGCCAUGUUCACGAGCUCCUGGAGCCACAGGGCCCCCCAGGAACAACAGAGCUGAGACUGGGUGGCCUUGUUUCUGGCCCAAUUCCCUGGGACCACCACCCUGGAAGGACACUUGAGCCCUACUCAAGGACCCACCACAACAUCUCAGCAUUGUCGGUCCUUAAAUGCCAAGGUUUGUGCUCACCAUUUCCAUCCUUAAGAUUCUCACAGGGAAGAACCCACACAACAGCUUUGUCCCUGCGACUCUGGGUGAGUUUCUGACACUGGCCUGGGCUCCCGUUUUGCCCGUCACCAACUUCUCACAGUAUAACUAUCCAAGAGAAGUAGCAUUUGAUGUCAGGGAAUCAAAAGGGCUAAGGCUCGGGAGGCCAAGGCAGGUGAAUCACUUGUAAUCAGGAGUUCGAGACCACCCUGACCAACAUAGUGAAACCCCAUCUCUACUAACAAUACAAAAAAUUAACCAGGUGUGGUGGCAGGUGCCUGUAAUCCCAGCUACUCAGGAGGCUGAGGUAGGAGGAUCACUUGAACCCAGGAGGCAGAGGUUGUGGUACGCCAAGAUCAUGACACUGCACUCCAGCCUGGGUGACAGAGUGAGACUCCAUCUCAAAAAAAAAAAAAAAAAAGGCCUAAGGCUUACUCAGGGUCAUCUAUGGUUUGCCAAGCAGAGUUCAAUCCAAUCAACAAAACCCUCACUGCCCACUUUUCCAAAACCUGAUAUAGUCAGUCACUAGUAGCUGCCAUUUGCUGUUUUGCCUUCUAUUAAAAAAAAAAAAAAAAAAAAAACCAUCCAAUUCCCAGAAGUCAAAGGCAAUUCCUUCCCUUUUCUGUGUCUGUGAGACGGCUCUCUGUGGGAUUCCUUCCUGCUGCACCUCAUCCUUCCUGGAAGGGACUCUCAGAAAAUGUGCCUCCUCCUUACAGGAAAGGAAUUCCUCCCGAGGAACUGUGGACAUGAGGCAGCUUUGUGGAAUUUCCCUUCCACAGACUUCAGCCUAUUUUCUGGGCAAACUUAGCAGAAAUGACCAAAAUCCACUCGAGAGAGACAGCAACAAGGAGAGGGGAAGAGAUCCUAUUUUGGCUUCUUCAAAUGGACCAAUUUUCUCUUUAAAAUAUUUAUUUUAAGGAAAAACAAGGACUACAUUAUAUUUUAAAGGGGGAGAAGGAAGAGGAUUUUGAGUUGCUAAGAGAACAGAGCCAUCUCUUUUCUUUUAAUACUGGAUGCUAAGAACUUGCACAGGGUUUUCCCAAAAGCCAGAUAGUUCAGGUAAUUUGCAUGUGGCUGUAAAAGAGAAAGUUCAGGCCAGGCACUGUGGCAACAUGGUGAAACCCCAUCUCUACUAAAAAUACAAAAAUUAGCUGGGUGUGGUGGUGCAAGCCUGUAAUCCCAGCUACUUGGGAGGCUGAGGCAGGGGAAUCACUUGAAUCUGGGAGGUGGACGUUGCAGUGAGCCAAGAUCACACCACUGCACUCCUGGGCGACAGAGACUCUCUCAAAAAAAAAAAAAAAAAAAAAAAAAGAGAGAGAGAAAGUUGAGAGCAUAAGUCUGAGUGAUUCUGCCUGAAAGAACAGAACAGCUUACACUGGACAGGCUUUUGCCCAAGACACACCUCAUCUGGCAUUGAGAAACGAACACCAACAAUAAUGAGUGACAGAAUGUUAAGAACAAUAAUUAUACAGACUUGGACCUCCCAGACUGCUUGUCUGUAGUAAUUCAGAAGGAAGCAAAGUAUUCUGAAGUGUUUAUGAAGAUUGGUUCCACAUCUGAAGAAUUUUAGUAAUCUUACCCAAACUCAACCCAAGAAAUAUGAGGAAAAGAGGGAGUAGUUCUAUAAUAAGCAGGUGGAAUAGAGGGUCAAACUCCUUGGCGAGUUCAGUCUAACAGAGGACACAUUACUGCCCUACAAAGCAGCUCUGGAAAAUGACAACCAGUGGCACUAACUCCAGGCAAUAUCUUUGUGAGGCUUGUGGGCUGUAAUAUAGUCUGCUCAGGCUGCCAUAAAAAAAAAAUCACAAUCAGGCCAGGCACUAUGGCUCACACCUGUAAUCCCAGCACUUUGGGAGGCCAAGGAGGGCAGAUCACCUGAGGUUAGGAGUUCGAGACCAGGCUGGCCAACAUGGCAAAACCCCGUCUCUACUAAAAAUACAAAAAUUACCCGGAUGUGGUAGCACGCACCGGUAGUCCCAGCUACUCGUCAGGCUGAGGCAGGAGAAUUGCUUGAACCUGGGAGGGGUGGAGGUUGCAGUGGGCUGAGAUCACACCACUGUACUCCAGCCUGGACAACAGAGCCACUGCACUCCAGCCUGGGCAACAGAGAGAGACUCCAUCUUAAAAAAAAAAAAAAAAAAUCCCCGUCUUCAAAUACAAUCACAUUCUGAAGUACUAGAGAUCAGGACUCCAACAUGCGAACUUUGGGGGGACAUAAUUCAGCCCGUAAUAUGGGUGAUAAAGGAGCAGGUCCAGACUUAGAGAAACAAGGACUCCCUGGGUCAAGCUCUGGAAGUGAAAGGCUUCUUCAAAGACAGGAAAGUCCCACUGAAGGUGGCUUUGGAAGUGCACCCUUGCAGCACAGCAACCUUCUUGAUUUGCUCAAGAGCAGGGGUUCUGACAGGUCUCAAAGCACUUUGUUUAAUGAAACAGAAUCGAAAAUACCAGUGUGUCACAUGUUUCCUAAGACAGGACACUGUUUCUUGAAACUUUUACUAAAGUAUGUUUUUCUUUUAUUUUUUUAUUUUUUAUUUUUUUUGAGAAGGAGUCUUGCUCUGUCGCCCAGGCUGGAGUGCAGUGGCACAAUCUCGACUCACUGCAACCUCUGCCUCCCGGGUUCAAACAAUUCUCCUGCCUCAGCCUCCUGAGUAGCUGGGAUUACAGGUGCACGCCAUCAUGCCUGGCUAAUUUUUGUAUUUUUAGUAGAGACAGGGUUUCACCAUGUUGACCAGUCUGCUCUCAAACUCCUGACCUUGUGAUCUGCCCACCUUGGCCUCCCAAAGUGCUGGGAUUACAGGUGUGAGCCACCGUGUCCAGCCUAAAGUAUGUUAAAUAUGUUAUGUGUGAGAGAGAGAAAGAGAAUAUAUCUCUUGGUCAUUACAUAUGUAAAACUUGUAGAACGUGAUCAAAAUGUUUAAAAACUGGCCAGGCACAGUGGCUCAAGCCUGUAUCCCAGCACUUUGGGAUCCCAAGGCAGGUGGAUCACAAGGUCAGGAAUCAAGACCAUCCUGGUCAACACAGUGAAACCCCAUCUCUACUAAAAAUACAAAAAAUUAGCCUGGCGCGGUGGCACGCACCUGUAGUCCCAGCUACUUGGGAGGCUGGGGCAGGAGAAUCGCUUGAACCUGGGAGGCGGAGGCUGCAGUGAGCUGAGAUAGCGCCACUGCACUCCUGCCUGGGCAACAGAGCAAGACUCCAACUCAAAAAAAAAAAAAAAAGUUUAAAAACUGGUCCUGUGGCAGUGGGUCUCAAACAUCAGCAUGCAUCAGAAUCACUUGGAGGACUGAUUAAAACACAGGCUGCUGCUGAUGCUGCUAAUCCUAGAGCCACCUUGAAGUUUUUCUGUGGUUUUUUUUUUUUUUUUUUUUUUUUUUUUGAGACAGGGUCUUGCUGUCUCCCAGGCUGGAGUGCAGUGGUGCAAUGAUACCUCACUGCAGCCUUGAACUCCUGGGCUCAAGCAAUGCCCCCAUCUCAGCCUCCCAAGCAACUAGGACUGUAGCUAGCUCCUAACUCAUUCCCUCCAUUCCUGCCCUCCCCUAACUUUAUAUUGCAGCCAGAAGGAUAUUUUUUCUGAAGAGCAUCUCAUGCUGAGUGGCAGCAGAAUGCAGAGAUUAAGAGAGGGGGCCAGGCACAGUGGCUCACACCUCUAAUCCCAGCACUUUGGGAGGCCGAGGUGGGUGGAUCACCCGAGGUCAGGAGUUCAAGACCAGCCUAGCCAACAUGGAGAAACCCCGUCUCUAUGGGCGUGGUGGUGCAUACCUGUAAUCCCAGCUACUAGGGAGGCUGAGGCAGGAGAAUCACUUGAACCCAGGAGGCAGAGGUUGCCGUGAGCCGAGAUCUCGUCAUUGCACUCCAGCCUGGGCAACAAGAGCGAAACUCCGUCUCAAAAAAAAAAAAAGAGUGGCGCCAGGUGCAGUGGCUCACGCCUGUAAUCCCAGCACUUUGGGAGGCCGAGGCAGGCAAAUCAUCUGAGGUCGGGAGUUCGAGACCAGCCUGACCAACAUAGAGAAACCCCGUCUCUACUAAAAAUACAAAAAAAUUAGCCGAGCGUGGUGGCAUGUGUCGUAUGCCUGUAAUCCCAGCUACUGGGGAGGCUGAGGCAGGAGAAUUACUUGAACCUGGGAGGCAGGUUUUUUGUUUUUUGUUUUGGUUUUGUUUGAGAUUUUGGUUGUUGUUUUUUGGGGUUUUUUUGAGACAGGGUCUCACUGUGUUGUCCAGGCUGGAGUGCAGGGGUGCGAUCAUGUGUCACUGCAGCCACAACCUCCUGGGCUCAGGUGAUCCUCCCACCUCAGCCUUCCUGAGUAACUGUUACUACAGGUGUGCACCACCAUGACUGGCUAAUUUUUGUAUUUUUUGUAGAGACAAGAGUUUCACCAUGUUGCACAGGCUGUUCACAAACUCCUAGGCUCAAGCUAUCCACCUGCCUCAGCCUCCCAAAGUGCUGGGAUUAUAGGCAUGAGCCACCUUGCCCAGCCAACUGAGCCACUUUGUGCCAGGACUAGGUCAGGUACUUGGGACAUAUACAGGCAAGGACACUGCCCACAGGGAACUGACAGUGUCUAGCAGCUACACAGAUGACACGGCCUUUUCGGCAGACACCCCUGUCCCCUGUGCUUGGCAAACAGCAGAGACUCAAAAAUGUAUAUGGUUUGACUCCCACUGGAACAUAAGCCCCUUAGGGCAGGGACCAGGGUCACUGUAUUCCCAGCACCUAUAAUCAAGAGGUACAUGACGCUGCAGCUGAGAGCAGGGACUCUGUGCUAAGUUACCUACCUGGUUUGAACCUAGGCUCUGCCACUCAAAGGCUGUGUGACCGUGGGAAAUAAUAGUACCCACCCCAAAGGUUUGUUAUUAGUAUUUAAUAAUAUUUAUUGGUAAGGUACUUAGAAUAGCCCCCCUGCCUACAGGAAGCAGUACAUAAUUAUAAUGUCUAAAUAUACAGUAGUUCCAGGCCAGGCAUGGUGGCUCAUGUCUGUAUUCCUAGCAGAAUGAGAGGCCGAGGAAGGAGAAUCAUUUGAGUCCAGGAGUUUGAGACCAGCCUGGAUAACAUAGUGAGAUCUCGUCUCUACAAAAAAUAAACAAAAGUAAGCCAGACAUGGUGGCACAUGCCUGCAAUCCCAGCUACUCAAAAGGCUGUGAUUAGAGAAUCACUUGAGCCCAGGAGGUAGAGGCUGCAAUGAGCUGAGAUCACACCACUGUACUCCAGCCUGGGCAACAGAGUGAGACUCCGUCUCUUAAAUAAAUAAAUAAAUAGGGGCCAGGCGUGGUAGCUUACACCUGUAAUCCCAGCACAUUGGGAGGCUGAGGCGGGAGGAUCACUUGAGGACAGGAGUUCAAGACCAACCUGACCAACAUGGUGAAACCCCAUCUCUACUAAAACACAACAAUCAGCUGGGCAUGGUGGCGGGUGCCUGUAAUCCCAGCUAUUUUGGGGGCUGAGGCAGGAGAAUCACUUGAACCCAGGAGGCAGAGGUUGCAGUGAGCCAAGAUCACACUACUACACUCCAGCCUGGGCAACAGAGCGGGACUCCAUCUCAAAUAAAUAAAUAAAUAGCAGUUCCAUAUCCUCUGAAUAAUGGACUAGAAGUUGGUUAAUGGAUGGGUUUUCAGGGAGAAUUUUAGCAGCCGAGCUGAGAGGUAGGUACUCUAGCCAGGGUAUAUAACAUGAGCUAAGGGAACAGGACAGCAAAUAUAAGGUGUGAUCAGGGGAAAGGCAUCAUAUAUUGACUGUCCAGGAACAAUGGAUAUCUGAGAAUGUAGGAAAGCUAAGUUAGGACCAGGAAAAGGAGAGUAUUAAAUGCCAAAGAAGAUGCCACCAAAGGUUCUGGAACAGAAAGCAGCAGAGCUAUGCCUUGUAAAGAUAAAGCCUGCAGUGUAUUGACUGGGUUGGAAUCUGGAAUCAUUGCGUGCCUCCAGUCAAGACGUGGCAACUGACCAACUACCUUUUAUCACUGACCAGACUCUUCCCUACGUGCAGAUAACUGAGGACGCAAGCCUUAGUUACUGGGUGUGGUGGUGCUAUUAACGGAAAAAGGGAAGUCAGCCAGCAAAGGCUGACUGGGGCAAUUUCAGCCUUGUUGCUCUGCUGUGAAACUGCUUUCCAGAAAAACUUUUUUUUUUUUUUGAGACGGAGUCUCACUCUGUCACCCAGGCUGGAGUGCAGUGGCACAAUUUCGGCUCACUGCAACCUCCGCCUCCCAGGUUCAAGCGAUUCUCCUGUCUCAGCCUCCCCAGAAGCUGGGAUUACAGGCGCCCACCACCACACUCAGCUAAUUUUUGUAUUUUUAGUAAAGUCAGGGUUCCACUAUGUUGGCCAGGCUGAUCUCCAACUCCUGACCUCAGGUGAUCCGCCUGCCUCGGCCUCCCAAAGUGCUGAGAUUACAGGCAUGAGCCACAGUGCCCAGCCCAGGAAAACUUCUUAAAGAUGUAAUAAUAACGCACCUUAUUAUUUUCCAAGUACUUCCAUAGAUAGUGGCCCACUUCUGAGUAUGAAUUAAAUUUCCCUUUGUGGCCUUUGUUUUUUUAAUAGAUCUUCAUUUCUGGGGGGACUUACAAACAGGUGACUUCUCCAUUCACCAGAGAUGGGACAUUAUACACUGACCUACUUCCAUAUUCACUUUCCCUGCUUGAUUGGAGGUGAGGGAGAAAAAUUAGUGUAUAAGGCCGGGCGCGGAGGCUCACGCCUGUAAUCCCAGGACUUUAGAAGGCUGAGGCAGGUGGAUCACCUGAGGUCAGGAGUUCGAGACCAGCCUGGCCAACAUGGUGAAACCCCUUGUCUACUAAAAAUACAAAAAUUAGCCAGGUGUGGUGGCACACGCCUGUAAUCCCAGUUACUCAGGAGGCUGAGGCAGGAGAAUUGCUUGAACCCCGAGGCAGAGGUUGCAGUGAGCUGAGUCCAUGCCAUUGCACUCUAGCCUGGGCAACAAGAGUGAAACUCUGUCUCAAAAAAAAAAAAAAAAGAAAAGAAAAGAAAAAUAAGUGUAUAGAACUUUAUUGUUUCAUUGACCGGGCACGAUGGCUCACGCCUGUAACUCUAGCACUUUGGGAGGCCAAGGUGGGCAGAUUGGCUGAGCUCAGCAGUUUGAAACCAGCCUGGGCAACAUGGUGAAACCUAUCUCUAAUAAAAUACAAAAAAUUAGCCCGGUAUGGUAGCACAUGCCUAUAGUUUCAGCUACCUGGGAGGCUGAGGCAUGAGAAUCACUUGAACCCAGAAGGUUGCAGUGAGCCAAGAUUGUGCCACUGCACUCCAGCCUGGGCAACAGAGCAAAACUCUGUCUCCAAAAAAAGAGAACUGGCCAGGGAUGGUGGCUCACGCCUCUAAUCCCAGCACUUUGGGAGGCUAAGGUGGGCAGAUCACGAGGUCAGGAGUUCAAGACCAGCCUGGCCAACAUGGUGAAACCCCGUCUCUACUAAAAAUACAAAAAUUAGCUGGGCAUGGUGGCAGGCACCUGUAAUCCCAGCUACUCAGGAGGCUGAGACAGCAGAAUCGUUUGAAUCUGGGAGGUAGAAGUUGCAGUGAGCCAAGAUCACGCCAUUGCACUCCAGCCUGGGUGGAAGGGCAUGACUUCGUCUCAAAAAAAAAAAAACUUUUUCCUUAAAAUACACCUCUUGGAGCCAGUCCCAGAUACUUGGGAGGAUCAGGAAGGAGGACCUCUUGAGGCCAUAAAUUUGAGGAUGUAGUGUGCCUGUGAAUAGCCACUACACUCUAGCCUGGGCAACACAGAAAGACCUCAUAAAUAAAUAAAUAGGCCAGAUGAGGUGGCUCACACCUGUAAUCUCAGCACUUUGGGAGGCCAAGGCUGGCAGAUCACGAAGUUAGGAGAUCAAGACCAUCCUGGCUAACACAGUGAAACCCCG